Molecule: ribosomal RNA, 265 nt
Filed under: uncultured bacterium
Lineage: Bacteria
Description: partial 16S ribosomal RNA
Rfam family: Bacterial small subunit ribosomal RNA
Source: RNAcentral
GUCCACGCUAUAAACGUUGGGCACUAGGUGUGGGAGGUAUUGACCCCUUCCGUGCCGUAGCUAACGCGAUAAGUGCCCCGCCUGGGGAGUACGGCCGCAAGGCUAAAACUCAAAGGAAUUGACGGGGGCCCGCACAAGCAGCGGAGCGUGUGGUUCAAUUCGAUGCUACGCGAAGAACCUUACCAGGGCUUGACAUGCUGGUGGUACUGAUCCGAAAGGUGAGGGACCCUUCGGGGAGCCAGCACAGGUGUUGCAUGGCUGUCGU